CUCAAACAGACUCCUGCCUUUCCACUCCAAGCAACGGUCAGGUUCAGAGAGAAGCAGCAAGGUAGUAUCUGGAUGAUCAGAGGCCAUGACACAGUUCCAAGAUCAGCUGAAGGUCAGGGUCCCAAGUAGACUGGAAACAUGGUUAGCCAAGGCAGCUAUUCCCUAUAAAAAGUUGCUCAGACUGAGGAGCUGGGUCUGGAGCCAGGGCUAUAUAGGGCAAGGCAGGUCUGGAUUGUGUUGAAGGGUUGGUGGGGUAGACUUCAGCUCUCCAUAUGCUGUUGGACUACAUCGCCCAUCAUUCCUGAACAUUAGGGUUGUCAUACGCCCUCUUUUUCCAGGACAUGUCCUCAUUUUCAUGGGUAGAGUCAUCAUAGCGAACCAUAGUUAAAACUAGAAGUUGGGGAAUGUGUCCUCUUUUUCUGCUCUACAAAAUAUGGCAACCCUAGCAUGCUGGCUAGGGUUGAUAGCAAUUGCAGACUAUAACUUCUGGAGGACAACAAAUUGUGGAGGGUUGCUCAAGACCAGCUCUCUAUUGUGAACCCUUCCAUUGGUCACUAACGAAAUUAUUAGGCUGACUCCAAAGGCUGGGUCCUUCUGCAUGUGACUAAUGAUUACUAUAAGACACUGGUCACAUACAGACGAAGUCAACCUUUAGAUCUAACCCAUUUUAAAAUAGAGGGGAUGGGGAAUGCUACCUUAUGAAGGACAAGCAAUUUUCAGUUUAAAUUGUCAUUAUGUCUUUAUUGUCCAAAAAGCUGUCUCAUUAGUCAAUGCAAGGGAAUUAAAAGCCCUUGCCAAGGAUUUGGGAGGUGAUGAAGGAAUGUUUAUACCAGACAGAAGAGUCAAACUUUUUAUGGGAUUCGCCAGGCUUGGAGCACCUGAAGACUAUGCCAAAACUAAACUCUUUUGAAAGUGAAUAGAGAUUUGUGAUAAGCAAUCUUUGCUUCUCAUUUGAAAAAACAUAAUAAUGUAAUAUACAGCUCAUAACUAGGUUAAAGCCCUUAAUCAGAAUCUGCUUUUCUCAAAGUUCCUGGUUGUUUGAUUUUUGGGAAGGAAUUGAAGGAGUGUGAUAUAGUGGAUAGAGUGUUGGAUCAGGAAGAAUUGUGUUGAGAGCACACUCAAGGACCUUGGGGCUUGCUGCCAUCUCUCCCCCCAACCCCCAGACAAGGUCAUUUGAAGACAAAAUAGGAUAACUCCAAUGUAAACUGCCCUUGGCUCUCUGAAGAAAGAGAGGAAUACAAAAUGUGGCAAUAAAAAACUGGCCGUCUGUUCCAUUAUUUUUUUUUGCCAUAAGUCCACAAUGACUUUCCUACAACUAGCCUUCACAGGACUAGAUUUCUCAUUUGCCAGACAAAUGUAUUGUUAAAUGCUCAUAGGAUACAUGUUCUGGACACUUCCACACCAGCAAUGGGCUUGGAUCUGAAGGCCUUCUGCUCACACAACGGGAAGCCACCUCCCCCUUCUGUCCACAGACCCCAGCAUUGUAUCCAAUGCCAUUCCCAAACACCUCCUUCAGGCUUUUCAGAUGGGCCAGGUGGCUCCAGUGGAGAUGGAGAGAUGGGAAGAAUGCAUUCCAUGACCAGUUUUUUGCUUGGGGUUUUAGGAGGUAAACCUGUGUGUGCCCCCCCACAAUAAAAUUCCAUAGAUGCUCCUUGUUGUCAUGCAAAAAUACUAAAGUGGCUCUGGGUAUAAUGUAACAUGCAAAACUUGAAUCAUGUGGCCUGCAUUCUGUGUCUACGCAUUCAGUGGGAGGCUAUUCUGCAUGCAGAUUAGCUGUUGCAACAAAUUCUGCAUAAGGAUUGGCUAUGUGUGAAAAGCUGUAGCUCAGGGUUAGAGCAUCUGUUUUCCGUGCAGAAGGUCCCAGGUUCAGUUCCCAAUAGCUCCAGAUAGGCCAGCCCUGUUUGAAACCUUGGAGAGAUACUACCAGUUAGAGUUAGCAGUGCUGAUCUAGAUGGACCAGUGUAUCUGACUCAGUGUAGGGCAGCUCCCUAAGAUCCUAUGCUAUUGCAGGAAAACACUUGCAUUCAGCUGCCCCUUCUCUCCUGUGCUGGGUCUAGAGACCCAUGAAAGCCGUAACAAGUUGCAAAGUUUGUGUAUCGCUCUCUGUACAUUCUCUAUUGCCCGCCUUCCACCGAUCGUCAGUUUGGCUGGGAAAACAGUGCAAAAAUAGCAGAACCAGCAAGAGCAAAACAACAUAAAAUAGCCAAAUAUUUGCUCAAUCAAGAAACAGCGGAUAGUAGAAUAGGCUGGGAGGGGGGAAACUUGGGACAAUCGCCAAAAUGUAUAGUACGAUUCACAUAACAUGAAUAUGCCCCCAGAAUAAGCAAUAGCUCAAAGGUGUUUUUUCAGCUGUUUUGCCUGCUUUUUACGAGUGCACGUUUUGAGUGGGAGUAGUGGAUAAGCCCAGUACAAAACUGCCUCUUGAAAAGAAAAGAAAAGAAAAGUCUACAGAGGCUUCUUCAGUAAAUUCAGAGUGGUUGCCAUUUCUAAGACUCAAGAAAUCAAUGCCUGUAUGCACGUAAGGUACAAUUAGGAUUGCUGCAUACUGCACACCAGAAUAUCAGCAAGACCGAAAAGUCACAUUCCUUCACUGUUUACCUUUGCAGGUCAAUGAUGUUAUAUUUAUGGUGUUGCCUUAAAAGGCAGGGCAACUUCCGCUCAAGGCAGGAUACACAAUUAUGCAGCCCAGAGGACAGGUAAGACAGACUUAUGGGAAGAGGAGAAUUCACCUUUCUUUAGCCUUUGGGCAGAGCUGGGAACAGCUCUAUAGCUCCGAAUAUAGUUGGAUCAAUGUUUUGCUUAACAAGAGAAAUGGAAAGAUAACCUGAUCCAGCACCUGGUACAACUAGGAAAAAUGGUUUUCUGCAGCAGUCUUUUUGAUAUAAAACAGAAAGCUAUUAUAUGUUAUCUUUUAAAAAAAUCUAAUAGGAAUGUUACACUGAGUGUACAGUGGGCUGGAUGCAGAGUUAACCAUGCAUAGAGUAAGCCCAUUGAAAGCAAAUCCCAUUGAUUUUAAUGGGGGUUCUCUAUGCAUUACUAACUCUGCAUCCAGCUCAGUAGUUCUAAUAUAUUAGAAAUAUAUUUGAUCUAAUAUAUUAGAAAUGUAUGGAGGAAGACUUCAUUUUACCCUGCAGCUAUGGUCACUGUGAAGGACUGAUUUCCUCAGCCAAGGGGAAAUGGUUCACAAAUAACCAUUUUGUAUUUUCACAUUCUUACUAUUCGUUAUUAUUUAGCCCUUACUGACCAUCUUGUAUAAACUCCAUUGUGUUUGCAUAUCAGGCAAAGGAAAGCAAGUGGCGUAGGAUGAGACAGCAAAAUGAUAAUGCAACUAUAUUGAGGUAGUACAGAGCUAUUUUUCUAGGAAAAAAAGGUGCUGGAGCUCACCCUUGUUCUCUUAUAAUGGCAGUGGUGCCUACCUGAGAAGUACCAGAACUGAGUUCUAAUGAGUUCCAGCUAAAAAACACACCCUGAGG
This 3473-nucleotide long non-coding RNA is filed under the name Podarcis lilfordi (Lilford's wall lizard). The stretch from base 1814 to 1885 matches the Rfam family "tRNA". The record is from RNAcentral. Lineage: Eukaryota; Metazoa; Chordata; Lepidosauria; Squamata; Lacertidae.